UCGAGGAUCUUCGGCAAUGGGCGAAAGCCUGACCGAGCGACGCCGCGUGUGGGAUGAAGGCCUUCGGGUUGUAAACCACUGUCAACGGGGAGGAAAUGCAGGAGGGUACUCCCUCCUGUUUGACCUAUCUGUGGAGGAAGUACGGGCUAAGUUCGUGCCAGCAGCCGCGGUAAGACGAACCGUACAAACGUUAUUCGGAAUCACUGGGCUUAAAGGGUGCGUAGGCAGCGCGGUAAGUUGGGGGUGAAA
This 249-nucleotide ribosomal RNA is filed under the name uncultured Planctomycetaceae bacterium. RNAcentral describes it as "partial 16S ribosomal RNA". It matches the Rfam family "Bacterial small subunit ribosomal RNA", at positions 355 to 599 of the family's 1533-position model. Lineage: Bacteria; Pseudomonadati; Planctomycetota; Planctomycetia; Planctomycetales; Planctomycetaceae. The record is from RNAcentral.